CUGGCGGCAGGCCUAACACAUGCAAGUCGAGCGCUCACUUCGGUGGGAGCGGCGGACGGGUUAGUAACGCGUGGGAAUAUGCCCGGUACUAAGGAAUAGCCUUUGGAAACGAAGAGUAAUACCUUAUACGCCCUUCGGGGGAAAGAUUUAUCGGUAUCGGAUUAGCCCGCGUAAGAUUAGAUAGUUGGUGGGGUAAUGGCCUACCAAGUCUACGAUCUUUAGCUGGUUUUAGAGGAUGAUCAGCAACACUGGGACUGAGACACGGCCCAGACUCCUACGGGAGGCAGCAGUGGGGAAUCUUAGACAAUGGGCGCAAGCCUGAUCUAGCCAUGCCGCGUGAGUGAAGAAGGCCUUAGGGUCGUAAAACUCUUUCGCCAGAGAUGAUAAUGACAGUAUCUGGUAAAGAAACCCCGGCUAACUCCGUGCCAGCAGCCGCGGUAAUACGGAGGGGGUUAGCGUUGUUCGGAAUUACUGGGCGUAAAGCGCACGUAGGCGGACUGGAAAGUUGGGGGUGAAAUCCCGGGGCUCAACCUCGGAACUGCCUCCAAAACUAUCAGUCUAGAGUUCGAGAGAGGUGAGUGGAAUUCCAAGUGUAGAGGUGAAAUUCGUAGAUAUUUGGAGGAACACCAGUGGCGAAGGCGGCUCACUGGCUCGAUACUGACGCUGAGGUGCGAAAGUGUGGGGAGCAAACAGGAUUAGAUACCCUGGUAGUCCACACCGUAAACGAUGAAUGCCAGUCGUCGGCAAGUAUACUUGUCAGUGACACACCUAACGGAUUAAGCAUUCCGCCUGGGGAGUACGGUCGCAAGAUUAAAACUCAAAGGAAUUGACGGGGGCCCGCACAAGCGGUGGAGCAUGUGGUUUAAUUCGAAGC
This 874-nucleotide ribosomal RNA is filed under the name uncultured marine bacterium. RNAcentral describes it as "bacterial SSU rRNA". It matches the Rfam family "Bacterial small subunit ribosomal RNA", at positions 36 to 957 of the family's 1533-position model. The record is from RNAcentral.